UGGGUGCUGUGAGUCCUGCCACUUUGUUUAAGUGAAUGUGUCUUUUGUCCAGCUCAGCCGCCUCGGAUCUCGCUGCCACCAGCCUUACUGCACACCCGUGCCACCCGCCCUUGCCCCGUCAGCCUCAGCCUCAGCUCAUUCUCUCAGGCAGUCCCAGCAUUGGCACGGUACCUCCUCCCGCUGUGGGCCACACGUCUCUGCUCCCUGUCAACCCUCCUGCCAUCAGCACCACCACCAGCGACUUGUCUGCCCGGGAGGAUGCAACACCAUCUGCCUCCACCGGCCACCUUUCAGUGUUUCCUGCUUUCCAAGUAAAGAUACCAGCAGUGCCCUCAGAGCAGACCAGCCAGAGUUUUUCUGAAGCCUCCCACAGGGUGCUCCCCGGAGGAGGCCCGAGAUGCUCUCGUGACUUUGGAGCCGGGGUGGCUGGCCACCUUGGCCUGGGCAUCUUUGGGGUGGGCUUCGGGAGCCCGGCACUGCUGCAGAGUGUGGUGGAUGAGAACAGCUGCUGCUUGCUGUACGUGGUGGAGGACCAGCUGUGUGAUGUGGAGCAAGCCUUCAGAGCUGAGCAUUUGGGCCAACACCAGAGUGGUUCGGGAACAGGAUGCAGACAUUGUCCUCAACGACCAGCGGCACUUUGAUCCGGUUUUCCAGUUCUUGCACAAGCAAGUUUGUGUCAGCCACGCCCUGGGGAGGAUCCACUG
This 704-nucleotide long non-coding RNA is filed under the name Homo sapiens (human). Its description in RNAcentral is "non-protein coding lnc-LRRC47-78:27". Lineage: Eukaryota; Metazoa; Chordata; Mammalia; Primates; Hominidae. The record is from RNAcentral.